This 1398-nucleotide ribosomal RNA is filed under the name uncultured bacterium. RNAcentral describes it as "bacterial SSU rRNA". It matches the Rfam family "Bacterial small subunit ribosomal RNA". The record is from RNAcentral.
AGAGUUUGAUCCUGGCUCAGGAUGAACGCUAGCGACAGGCUUAACACAUGCAAGUCGAGGGGCAGCGAGGGCGUAGCAAUACGCCUGUCGGCGACCGGCGCACUGGUGAGUAACACGUAUGCGACCUGCCCCCUACAGGGGUAUAACCCGUAGAAAUGCGGACUAAUCCCCCAUAGUCCUGGAGGCUGCAUGGCUUUCAGGGGAAAGGCCAGCCGGUAGGGGAUGGGCAUGCGGCGCAUUAGCUAGUUGGCGGGGCAACGGCCCACCAAGGCGACGAUGCGUAGGGGUUCUGAGAGGAAGGUCCCCCACACUGGUACUGAGACACGGACCAGACUCCUACGGGAGGCAGCAGUGAGGAAUAUUGGUCAAUGGGCGCAGGCCUGAACCAGCCAAGUCGCGUGAGGGAUGACGGUCCUACGGAUUGUAAACCUCUUUUGUCGGGGAGUAACGUGCGGGACGUGUCCCGUAUUGAGAGUACCCGAAGAAAAAGCAUCGGCUAACUCCGUGCCAGCAGCCGCGGUAAUACGGAGGAUGCGAGCGUUAUCCGGAUUUAUUGGGUUUAAAGGGUGCGCAGGCGGCGCGCCAAGUCAGCGGUCAAAGUUCCGGGCUCAACCCGGUGUCGCCGUUGAAACUGGCGUGCUCGAGUGCGUGCGAGGAAGGCGGAAUGCGUUGUGUAGCGGUGAAAUGCAUAGAUAUGACGCAGAACUCCGAUUGCGAAGGCAGCUUUCCAGCGCGCUACUGACGCUGAGGCACGAAAGCGUGGGGAUCGAACAGGAUUAGAUACCCUGGUAGUCCACGCAGUAAACGAUGACUACUAGCUUUCCGGGGCGACUGGGUCCUGGGAGGCACAGCGAAAGCGUUAAGUAGUCCACCUGGGGAGUACGCCGGCAACGGUGAAACUCAAAGGAAUUGACGGGGGCCCGCACAAGCGGAGGAGCAUGUGGUUUAAUUCGAAGCAACGCGAAGAACCUUACCUAGACUUGACAUGUCCUGAAUUACCAGUAAUGUGGGAAGUUCCUUCGGGAACAGGAACACAGGUGGUGCAUGGUUGUCGUCAGCUCGUGUCGUGAGAUGUUGGGUUAAGUCCCGCAACGAGCGCAACCCUUAUUGUUAGUUGGUACCAUUAAGUUGACCACUCUAGCGAGACUGCCCGGGUUAACCGGGAGGAAGGUGGGGAUGACGUCAAAUCAUCAUGCCCCUUAUGUCUAGGGCUACACACGUGCUACAAUGGCAAGUACAAAGAGAAGCAAUACUGUGAAGUGGAGCAAAACUCAAAAACUUGUCUCAGUUCGGAUUGUAGGCUGAAACUCGCCUACAUGAAGCUGGAGCUGCUAGUAAUCGCGAAUCAGAAUGUCGCGGUGAAUACGUUCCCGGGUCUUGCACUCACCGCCCGUCAAG